UGAUGGGGAGUCUCUACGGAGACGAAGUGCAUGAUGUCAAGCUUCCUAGAAAGCCCGAACCACGUUAAUUUAUAGUCACCUGUACCCGAAACCGACACAGGUAGGAAGGUAGAGAAUACUAAGGGGCGCGAGGUAACUCUCUCUAAGGAACUCGGCAAAAUGACCCCGUAACUUCGGGAGAAGGGGUGCCCUCAGCAAUGAGGGUCGCAGUGAAUAGGCCCAGGCGACUGUUUACCAAAAACACAGGUCUCCGCAAAGUCGUAAGACGCAGUAUGGGGGCUGACGCCUGCCCAGUGCCGGAAGGUUAAGGAAGUUGGUCAGAGAGCAAUCUUGAAGCUAGCGACUGAAGCCCCGGUGAACGGCGGCCGUAACUAUAACGGUCCUAAGGUAGCGAAAUUCCUUGUCGGGUAAGUUCCGACCCGCACGAAAGGCGUAACGAUCUGGGCACUGUCUCGGAGAGAGGCUCGGCGAAAUAGGAUUGUCUGUGAAGAUACGGACUCCCUGCACCUGGACAGAAAGACCCUAUGAAGCUUUACUGUAGCUUGGAAUUGGGUUCGGGCUUUGCUUGCGCAGGAUAGGUGGGAAACUAUGAAGUCAUCCUUGUGGGGGUGAUGGAGUUAACGGUGAGAUACCACUCUGGUGAGGCUAGAAUUCUAACUUGUUCCCGUUAUCCGGGAGAAGGACAAUUUCAGGUGGGCAGUUUGACUGGGGCGGUCGCCUCCUAAAAGGUAACGGAGGCGCGCAAAGGUUUCCUCAGGCUGGUUGGAAAUCAGCCGAAGAGUGUAAAAGCAGAAGGAAGCUUGACUGUGAGACUGACAAGUCAAACAGGGACGAAAGUCGGCUUUAGUGAUCCGACGGCACUGAGUGGAAGGGCCGUCGCUCAACGGAUAAAAGUUACUCUAAGGAUAACAGGCUGAUCUCCGCCAAGAGUUCACAUCGACGCGGAGGUUUGGCACCUCGAUGUCGGCUCAUCGCAACCUGGGGCGGUAGUACGUCCCAAGGGUUGGGCUGUUCGCCCAUUAAAGCGGUACGUGAGCUGGGUUUAGAACGUCGUGAGACAGUUCGGUCCAUAUCCGGUGUAGGCGCAAGAGUAUUGAGAGGAGACUUCCUUAGUACGAGAGGACCGGGAAGUACGCACCGCUGGUGUACCUGUUAUCGUGCCAACGGUAAACGCAGGGUAGCCAAGUGCGGAGUGGAUAACCGCUGAAAGCAUCUAAGUGGGAAGCCCACCUCAAGAUGAGUACUCUCAUGGUGUUAAGCCAGUAAGGUCACGGGAAGACUACCCGUUGAUAGGCUCUAGAUGGAAGCGUGGUGACAUGUGAAGUCGAGGAGUACUAAUAGACCGAGGGCUUGACAAG
Molecule: ribosomal RNA, 1358 nt
Filed under: metagenome
Description: bacterial LSU rRNA
Rfam family: Bacterial large subunit ribosomal RNA
Source: RNAcentral